This 492-nucleotide ribosomal RNA is filed under the name uncultured bacterium. RNAcentral describes it as "partial 16S ribosomal RNA". It matches the Rfam family "Bacterial small subunit ribosomal RNA", at positions 29 to 507 of the family's 1533-position model. The record is from RNAcentral.
AGUGAACGCUGGCGGUAGGCCUAACACAUGCAAGUCGAACGGCAGCACAGUAAGAGCUUGCUCUUACGGGUGGCGAGUGGCGGACGGGUGAGGAAUACAUCGGAAUCUACUUUUUCGUGGGGGAUAACGUAGGGAAACUUACGCUAAUACCGCAUACGACCUACGGGUGAAAGCAGGGGAUCUUCGGACCUUGCGCGAUUGAAUGAGCCGAUGUCGGAUUAGCUAGUUGGCGGGGUAAAGGCCCACCAAGGCGACGAUCCGUAGCUGGUCUGAGAGGAUGAUCAGCCACACUGGAACUGAGACACGGUCCAGACUCCUACGGGAGGCAGCAGUGGGGAAUAUUGGACAAUGGGCGCAAGCCUGAUCCAGCCAUACCGCGUGGGUGAAGAAGGCCUUCGGGUUGUAAAGCUCUUUUGUUGGGAAAGAAAAGCAGCAGGUUAAUACACGGCUGUUCUGACGGUACCCAAAGAAUAAGCACCGGCUAACUUCGUG